GAUAGUAGUAGCGAACGAACCUAUUGAUACACAUUUUAAAUUGCUCAGACUAAUCAAAGUCUAGUGCUAAAGAAGCAAAACUUAUAAGGACAGUACUGUGAAGGAAAACAAAUACAUGUAUAACUCCUCAAUAUACUAAUUAUAAUCUAAUUUACCUUUUGUAUCAUGGACCUACAAGAAAAAUCUUUAGUUAACUAAGGUUUAACUAAUCUAUUUAACAAUUAACGACUCCCGAAACUGAGUGGUCAAUUCCAGGGCAGCAUUUAGUGCAAACUAAUAACUGUUUCAAAAGUUUUAGGUGAACUUGGAAUAGAGGUUAAAUACUAAUCGAACUCAGAAAUAGCUGGUUUUCUACGAAAUCUUUAUAAGAAGAAAUAAUUAAAUCUAAAUUUUAGGUAAACCAAAAUAAUUUAAAUUUAGUGAAAAUUACUUACAGACCAUUAAUGAUAAGAUUGGUGGUCCAAUGAGAAACAACUCACAGCAAAAGCUAAAGACGCCCACACAAUAAGUGCUACCUAAAAUAAAUUAAAGAUAAGAAAUUAGUAGGCCCGGAAGCAGCCAUCUUAUUAACAACGCGUAAUAGCGGUUUUCAAAAAUACCUAUUUUAAAAAUAAUGGCGACUAUAUUACCCCUAAAGCUUUGCAAUUAUUAGUAGAACAGACUAUAAUAAUAGUGGAGAUAAUGUAGGUAUGAAUAAUAUAUAAAUUUUGCGGUUAAUAUACUAAACAGUUUUUAAAUUACAAAUAAUAAAGUGCUAAUACCUUAUAUAAAAAAUCGGCCUUAAUUAACUGUUCUAUCUAACCAAAGAAAAAUUUUUACAAACCUAAUAAUUAUUAAGGAACUCGGCAAAAUAAAGUUCCAAGCUUAACAAGGAGAUCGACUGUUUACCAAAAACAUAGCCUUACAACUACCCUUGCAAGGUGAAACCUGCUCAAUGGCUAUAAAUAAAAAAUAAUAGUAGUUAAAUAGCCGCGGUAACUCUGACCGUGAUAAAGUAGCAUAAUCACUCGUCAUUUAAUUGGUGACUAGAAUGAAUGGUUAAACGAAUCUCCAACUGUCUCAAUAAUUAAGUUAAUGAAGUUAAAGUAAUAGUGAAGAUACUAUUUAAUAAUUGUAAGACGAAAAGACCCUAUUGAGCUUUACUAAAAGCUUAAAAAUAUCAAACACACAAUAAUAUUAUACCAAGAAAAAUCUUUUAAGCGGAUUAGUUUGGUUGGGGCGACCACCUCUAAAAAAGUAUCAGAGGUAAUCUAAAGGUUAUUUUUAAAUAAAAAAAAGCCUAACUGUAUAUUCACUCAUUAAUCAGUUACUAACAGUAGGAUAUAAUGACCCGCUAAUUUUCUUUUAUUAAUUUUAGCGAACAUGAAAAAAGUUACCAUAGGGAUAACAGGGUAAUAUUUCUGAAGAGUUCUCAUCAAUAGAAAUGUUUGCCACCUCGAUGUUGAAUUGCGAUAACCUAAAGGUGCAGCAGCUUUAAAGGGUUGGUCUGUUCGACCAUUAAAAUCGUACAUGAUUUGAGUUCAUUCCGUCGUAAGACAGGAAGGUUUCUAUCUACAAUUAUGGGCUUUAAUAAACUUUAGUACGAAAGGAAUUAGUAUUAAUGUUUCUAUAACAAAAAAGUUAGCUUGACAUAAUAUAAAGU
This 1642-nucleotide ribosomal RNA is filed under the name Mastigias papua. Its description in RNAcentral is "16S ribosomal RNA". It matches the Rfam family "Bacterial large subunit ribosomal RNA". Lineage: Eukaryota; Metazoa; Cnidaria; Scyphozoa; Rhizostomeae; Mastigiidae. The record is from RNAcentral.